This 291-nucleotide small RNA is filed under the name Phascolarctos cinereus (koala). RNAcentral describes it as "7SK RNA (ENSPCIG00000000032.2)". Lineage: Eukaryota; Metazoa; Chordata; Mammalia; Diprotodontia; Phascolarctidae. The record is from RNAcentral.
AGAUGGGAGAGGCUGACUGCACUCAUGGUCCCUAAGACUGACUAGUCUGAUCAGAAUUGUUAGGCAUGUGUCUCCUUCCUCCAUCCUGUCUUCAUGCAUAUUUCUUCAAAGUCAUGCCCUCAUUGAAGAAGAUGACCUUUCCCAUUAGAAGAGUGCCAUUCUUCAGCUUAAAGUAUGUGAAUACCUAUACUUCCCUAGAAUAAUUAAUGUUAAGCACUGAUUGAAAGUAGCAGAGAACAGGAGAUGCCUACCAAAUUUCCAAAUGCAGUUAAUAAGACUUGCUUCUGCAAU